UACAGAGGUGGCAAGCGUUGUUCGGAAUUACUGGGCGUAAAGGGCGCGUAGGCGGUUCGUUAAGUCCUGUGUGAAAUCCCCCGGCUCAACUGGGGAACUGCACAGGAAACUAGCGGGCUUGAGUUCGGGAGAGGGAAGCGGGAUUCCGGGUGUAGCGGUGAAAUGCGUAGAUAUCUGGAGGAAUACCGGUGGCGAAGGCGGCAUCCUGGACCGGCAUUGACGCUGAGGAGCGAAAGCUAGGGGAGCAAACAGG
This 253-nucleotide ribosomal RNA is filed under the name uncultured bacterium. Its description in RNAcentral is "partial 16S ribosomal RNA". It matches the Rfam family "Bacterial small subunit ribosomal RNA", at positions 524 to 776 of the family's 1533-position model. The record is from RNAcentral.